UAUUCCCACCAUGAGUGCUCUCAUUAGCAGGACCUGCGGGCUCUGGAUCAGACCCUGGUGGGGAGGGUAGAGUUAGGAAGAAGAUAAGGGCCAGUUUCUUUCCAGCCUGUGGAAGAGGGGAAAAGCCUGUGUUGUUAGGAAUGACAUUGACAGCCAGGGAUAUGGCACAUUUUGGCAGAGAUUUUGAAAUCAGCUAAUAUAAACCUAGCAUCUUUUCUGGGGCUCCCCAACAGUCCCACUCAGCAUAGUAUCCCCAUGCACCUAAAGUCCUGUCCCCUUGGCUGAUACCUUGUUAAAUUCAGCCUCCUGCGAUAAUAUUUUGUCUUGUAAUUAUGAUCCUAGAGCAUGCAAAAGAAAUACCAAGAUGAAUAUAGUCGAUUACCUUACCUUCAUCCUUUAGAGCAUUGAGUUAACCCCAGCCACUGAAUAAUUGCACCUGCAGAAUACGUUUUAUUGGGAGAAACAAGAGCAGGAGGACUCUGCAGCCAGUAGAGAUCAAGACUGGUUGCCUCUGCAAAGCCAUUUCAAGCCUCUUGGCUUGAGACUAUGUCAUUAGCUUCUGUCAGUGAUUAAUUUGAGAAAUAUAUAUUCAGUAAUGGACUAUUUAGUGUACAAAGCUUAGUGCAUAAUCUAUUUACUUACCACUGCCAGCACAUCGCACAGUAGCAUUGCAGCUAAUAUUGAACAAAACCCUGAGCAAUGCAGUAUCACCUUUUGAUUUCUUCACAUACCAUUUAUUUUUCUUACCAGGGAUAAGUCCUGCAGACCUUGGUCUCUCAGCAAACCCAUGCUGGUAAUUUUUCCUGCUUUGCCAGGCCUUGGUCCUCAGCUCACUGGUGAUGCUCAGUUAAGACAUGGUUUAAGCACCAUCCAGUCAGGACCACUGAGGAGCAGGACAGUGAUGGCAGCUGAGGUAGAAAGGAACAGGGCUGGAGGCCACAAGUCUGCGACAGAAAGGUGAAUGUUGAGGGCCAAAAUUGUUCAGUGAGAUGCAGAUCCAGAGAGAACUGGAGUGGAUAGACUGAAACUUUCUGGGUUGCUGUUAGGCUGUCAGAAUGUAAAUGUAGCUCAUGUUUGUACCAGCCAGUUGUAUUUGCAGCUCAGGUGCAUGAGCUCUGCAACAGAAAGUGGAUGCAUUGUCCAUAUUUAGUAGGAUCUUGCAUUUUUUUGUUGGGGGGUGGGGUAAGGAGGGCAGAUAAAAAUGCUUGAGGAGCCCAGGGUGUGUGAAUUCAGAAGCUGCUUACAUUGAACUGAAAAUGCCUAGUUUGGUACAGGCACAGUUGAUAUGCCUGGGCCAGAGGGCGUAUCAGCUUCUGGGGAAGAGGAAUGAGAAAUGCCCUGGGGACCUCUCAUCCCUCCUUAGUGCCAGACUGAAGGGACAGGGAGACCAUCCUUCUUUAUUUCCUUCCAUCCCAACUGUGUCUGCUGCCUACACACCCUGAGCCAUCUUCAAGGGUCUUGGGGCACCAUCCAGCUCAGCUUUUCACAGUUUCUGCGGCAGCAAACCUGCUGCCUUGUCAUCUAUCAAGGGUACCUGCUCUGGGCAGCUAUCUGCUUUACCUGGGCUUAAAGCCAUCUCGAUGGUUUUUUUUCCAUCUCGAUGGAAAUUCUUCCAUGUUGAGAAGUAAAACCAUCUCUUUCCAGUGUCUGUGCCAAAGUCAAAACAAGGAGAACGCAAGGCGUCCGCAGCAGUCGAUGUGCUGAGGUGCUCUUCUGGGAUUUUCAUGUGGGUGUAAACCUGGUGUGAAGGUGGCUCAGUGUGGACGCAGGGUGCAGCCAGGGCUGGGUAAUCGGCUCCCCCUCUGAUUCCAAGUCCCCCCGUGUCCGUGAUGAGUGGCCCAGGGCAGGAGCCCACCCCGCCUACCCCAAUUCCAGCCGGGGAGUGACUGCGGGGUGCGGCUGGCCGGGUCCCCGCUGCGCUCUGCCGCCGUGGGACACGGGGCGCGCCCCGGCGAUGUCGGAGCUGUGGCAGGGUGGAAUCGGUGCCGUGGGCUGCGGCAGGAGCUGCCUGCGCGGCCCCCAAAAGCGGGUUCUGGCAGCAGCGGAGCCGUGAGAGGCGGUGUUGGACCGCGCUGCGGCGGCCGCACGGGCAGCGCCGGGCCCGGCGGGCUCCGGAGCGUCUCCGCUGCAUUCUGGGCAGUUCCAGCCUUGCUAUUUCGCAGCAGGCAUUCGUUGCAACAAAAUCUCCUUUCCCCCUUUCUCCUUUUUUCUCUUUCUUUUUAAUUUUCUGCCUUUUUUUUAUUUUCUUUUCUAUUCUUCUUUCCCAUUUCUCCUUUUCUUUUGAGGUGUUUCCCAGACCUUCCCAGCAGUGUUUGUGACCUCUUUCCCAGACUUUCCAGCAGUUUAUGAAGCAUCCCACCGCUGGAAGGGUGACUCUUUGCCAAUUGAGCAUCCCUGCAAUCACAGGUGGGCAGCUGACGCAGCCAAGAGCUCCGUGAUGCCUCACCACACCCGUCGUGUUCCUGAGAGGACUCCCAGCCAAAGCUCAGCAUCACGGCCACCUCUGCCACGUGCUCCCUGAGGUGACUCCUCUGGAUAUCCAGCCCUGGAGGAGAGGUUACACCUCAGGUUUUGCCUGGCUUGAAGAGAAUAAAAAGCCCCAUUGGUGACAGCAACAUCAACAGAUGCAAACUAGGGAGUGAGUGUGGAAGUGAGCUGCCUUCACCUUUAUCUGCUGCUUUUGGACAGAUGAAUCCACACUACAGCAGAGCACUUGCAGAUUACUCUCCUUCUUCUGUGAAAGUUUGCCUAUCAGUGUAAGCGGCAUCUGGAGAUGGGAAAACUGAACUUCAGGUUAAAGUUUUGAGAAGACAAGGAUUAUCUCCAGUUUAGAAUCCUGCUUUUGAGCUGAUGGAUUCAUUGCAGGCUCUGCUCCCUUUGCACUCUCAGCUUCCUCCAAAAGAGGAGUAGAUGUGUGAGAGCCAGAAAACCAACCAUUGGCAGCCCUGUAUUGUGUGAGAUAUUUUAUUUACAAAGGUGGGGACAUUUGUACCAUCACCUUCUCUUGAUGGCUCCCCAAGCCUUGCUCUGCCAAUAGAGCUCAAUGCAGAGAGGUCAUUAGGAAGACUAAGGUGAAUGCCUUGUGAAGGCCAGGAGACUGUUCUGAAGAAAGUCCCUUCCAGCACUGAAUUUUACAGUGGUCCAACGGGCUGGCAGGUGCCGUUUGUUUUACCUGGUUGCUUGGUUGCUUUGGUCUUUAAAAAGUCUUGUAAAUGCCUAAGAAGAAGAAAGUUGUUCACCUGUUCUGCAUAGUGGGGGAAAAAAAUCCACCCCAAAUGCACAAUGGAGGGAAUAUCUGUCUCUCUGUGUCAGUGAUGCUAAACUGGAGUUUCAGUGGGAGAGGGCUCAGCCCUGGACAGGUUUUCCAGGCUAAUUGAAAGGAACAUGGUGAUAUCUGAAAUGCUACUUGCUCCAUGUGCUUGUGGCUUUG
Molecule: non-coding RNA, 3430 nt
Organism: Taeniopygia guttata (zebra finch)
Lineage: Eukaryota; Metazoa; Chordata; Aves; Passeriformes; Estrildidae
Source: RefSeq, a predicted model, not a curated record